Lolium rigidum is the source of this 413-nucleotide long non-coding RNA. RefSeq lists it as uncharacterized. NCBI's taxonomy places the organism in Eukaryota, Viridiplantae, Streptophyta, Magnoliopsida, Poales, Poaceae. The record is from RefSeq and is a predicted model, not a curated record. The transcript has 3 exons.
GCGCGGCUCCGGGCGUUCGAUUCCCACGCCGUACGUCACCCACCUUUGGCGUGCGCCACUCAUGGAUGGCGGCUGCUGAGGCUCGCCCGCUCGAUGUGCUCCCUUCAUCCAGCGGCGGCGGUUUAAACCAACUGCCGCCUCUGUCGCCAGCACCUUCUUCCCAGCAACCGUAUCUACUAUCUAGAGCCUCAAGGGCAGCAGCUGGAUGUGCAGCUGGCCAAGCCAGGCCUGGCCGUCGAUGGUUUUGGCUCUAGAGGUGCUGCUGUUGUGCUGUCCGCGGUCUGCCCUUGAUGUCGUGUGAUGGUGACAAGUUCAUCUCGGCAACAGUGAACUCUUCUACGCAUCCAUGGUAUAGGACCAAGUGUUGCUGCAUGGAUGCUAAUACCCUUGUUUUGUACGACGCUCAAAGGGGG